GGGGCUGUGGCGUAAUUGGUAGCGCGUGGUAUGUCUAUAAAUCUUAAGGUUAUCCGUUCAAGUCGGGUCAGCCUCA
Molecule: transfer RNA, 76 nt
Filed under: Aspergillus fischeri NRRL 181
Lineage: Eukaryota; Fungi; Ascomycota; Eurotiomycetes; Eurotiales; Aspergillaceae
Description: tRNA-Tyr (ATA) (tRNA-Tyr-ATA-1-1)
Source: RNAcentral